GGGAAAGUGGCUCAGUGGUAGAGUGCUUGCCUUGCAUGCAUGAGGCCCCGGGUUCGAUUCCUCAGCACCA
This is a non-coding RNA of Dipodomys ordii (Ord's kangaroo rat), 70 nucleotides long. The record is from Rfam. Lineage: Eukaryota; Metazoa; Chordata; Mammalia; Rodentia; Heteromyidae.